Molecule: ribosomal RNA, 446 nt
Filed under: uncultured bacterium
Lineage: Bacteria
Description: partial 16S ribosomal RNA
Rfam family: Bacterial small subunit ribosomal RNA
Source: RNAcentral
CCUACGGGAGGCAGCAGUCGAGAAUCUUUCACAAUGGGGGAAACCCUGAUGCUGCGACGCCGCGUGGGGGAAUGAAGGUUUUCGGUUUGUAACCCCUUGUCAUGUGGGAGCAAAUUACAAUGAUAGUCCCACAAGCGGCAGCUACGGCUAACCCUGUGCCAGCAGCCGCGGUAAUACUGAGGGCUCAAGCGUUGUUCGGAACCACUGGGCGUAAGGCGUGCGUAGGCUGGUUAGUAAGUCGUGUGUGAAAGGCGAGGGCUUAACCCGGGGAUUGCACAUGAUACUGUGAGACUAGAGUAAGGGAGAGGGAGCCGGAAUUCUCGGUGUAGGAGUGAAAUGCGUAGAGAUCGAGAGGAAUACUCAUGGCGAAGGCGGGUUCCUAGACAAUAACUGACGCUGAGGCACGAAGGCGAGGGGAGCGAAAGGGAUUAGAUACCCCAGUAGUC